RNAcentral lists this microRNA precursor (102 nucleotides) under Pelobates cultripes (western spadefoot toad). The record is from RNAcentral. Lineage: Eukaryota; Metazoa; Chordata; Amphibia; Anura; Pelobatidae.
UGUUUGCAUAGUGUGUGUAUAUAAUGCAGUGUGUUUGUGUAGUGUGUUUAUAUAAUGCACACUACACAAAUACACUGCAUUAUAUACACACACUAUACAAAC